This 300-nucleotide ribosomal RNA is filed under the name Microbacterium testaceum. RNAcentral's name for it is "bacterial SSU rRNA". It matches the Rfam family "Bacterial small subunit ribosomal RNA", at positions 115 to 416 of the family's 1533-position model. Lineage: Bacteria; Bacillati; Actinomycetota; Actinomycetes; Micrococcales; Microbacteriaceae. The record is from RNAcentral.
ACGUGAGCAACCUGCCCUGGACUCUGGGAUAAGCGCUGGAAACGGCGUCUAAUACUGGAUAUGAGACGUGAUCGCAUGGUCGUGUUUGGAAAGAUUUUUCGGUCUGGGAUGGGCUCGCGGCCUAUCAGCUUGUUGGUGAGGUAAUGGCUCACCAAGGCGUCGACGGGUAGCCGGCCUGAGAGGGUGACCGGCCACACUGGGACUGAGACACGGCCCAGACUCCUACGGGAGGCAGCAGUGGGGAAUAUUGCACAAUGGGCGGAAGCCUGAUGCAGCAACGCCGCGUGAGGGAUGACGGCC